UUUGACGCACGGAUUUCGAGAAAAUCCAAAAAUACAUGUUUUAUAUGUAUUUUGUGUGUUUCUUUCGAUUGGAACGAAAGUUUGGAUUUUGUCGUGAAUCCGUGGUCGAUCGUGGUGAAACAAAAUCGUAGCUUUGUUGUCUCCGAGGUGCUGAUCGCACUGGUGCAAUCCGUUCGCAAAUCUGACGGACGGAUCUGCGGAGAUUGCGCGUUGAUCGAGGAGAGGUCUGUGAUGGCCAAACGGUAAUUUCGCAAAAGUCGCGACAUUUUAUGUACCGUUUCGCGUGAAACCGCACGUAGAGGGGUAUUCGCGCGUUUUACUUGUGCUGUGAGGGACUCGGAGCUAUUUAUGGAGUUUGGAGGGACUUUUGCGCGAUUUAUCGCCUUAAGUAUUUAAGGCUUCUAGGGUUUUCCAUGAAACCCUAACCCUAAACCUAGCUCCAGCUAACCUAGCCGCCCUACCCCCCUUCUCCUCGUGCGCCGCGCCUCUCCCGGCCGCCGCCGACCGAGCCCUGGCCGGCAGCCACCGCCUCAGCCAUCAUCUUUCUCUCUCUCCAUAUCCCUCUCUUUCUCUCGG
RNAcentral lists this long non-coding RNA (576 nucleotides) under Ananas comosus (pineapple). RNAcentral describes it as "long non-coding RNA (ACOM_LNC040194)". Lineage: Eukaryota; Viridiplantae; Streptophyta; Magnoliopsida; Poales; Bromeliaceae. The record is from RNAcentral.